Molecule: ribosomal RNA, 550 nt
Filed under: Bacillus pumilus
Lineage: Bacteria; Bacillati; Bacillota; Bacilli; Caryophanales; Bacillaceae
Description: bacterial SSU rRNA
Rfam family: Bacterial small subunit ribosomal RNA
Source: RNAcentral
AGCAACGCGAAGAACCUUACCAGGUCUUGACAUCCUCUGACAACCCUAGAGAUAGGGCUUUCCCUUCGGGGACAGAGUGACAGGUGGUGCAUGGUUGUCGUCAGCUCGUGUCGUGAGAUGUUGGGUUAAGUCCCGCAACGAGCGCAACCCUUGAUCUUAGUUGCCAGCAUUCAGUUGGGCACUCUAAGGUGACUGCCGGUGACAAACCGGAGGAAGGUGGGGAUGACGUCAAAUCAUCAUGCCCCUUAUGACCUGGGCUACACACGUGCUACAAUGGACAGAACAAAGGGCUGCAAGACCGCAAGGUUUAGCCAAUCCCAUAAAUCUGUUCUCAGUUCGGAUCGCAGUCUGCAACUCGACUGCGUGAAGCUGGAAUCGCUAGUAAUCGCGGAUCAGCAUGCCGCGGUGAAUACGUUCCCGGGCCUUGUACACACCGCCCGUCACACCACGAGAGUUUGCAACACCCGAAGUCGGUGAGGUAACCUUUAUGGAGCCAGCCGCCGAAGGUGGGGCAGAUGAUUAAGAGGGUGAAGUCGUAACAAGGUAGCCG